CCUCAUCUAGCUCAGUCGGUAGAGUGCAAGUCUUUUAACCUUGAGGUUGUGGGUUCAAGCCCAUGGUGGGUG
Molecule: transfer RNA, 72 nt
Filed under: Zea mays
Lineage: Eukaryota; Viridiplantae; Streptophyta; Magnoliopsida; Poales; Poaceae
Rfam family: tRNA
About the family: Transfer RNA (tRNA) molecules are approximately 80 nucleotides in length. Their secondary structure includes four short double-helical elements and three loops (D, anti-codon, and T loops).
Source: Rfam by way of RNAcentral